CCAGCCCCAGCCCCAGCCCCAGCCCCAGCCCCAGCCCCAGCCAUCACCCUAACCCUGCUUCUCCCUAAAGUCACUCCAAUCUGCAUUGAUUUGGUGCUAAAAGUUGUCCAUUGCUCAUCCAUAAGACUGGAAUAACCCUGUGUGCCUCUAGCAUUGCUGACUUUCCGAGCUGACUACCUGAGUUAUCAUUUUCAAUUAAUGUACUCAGUCCCAUUUGUCCACUGUCCCACGUUAGAACAAUCUAUUCACCUUUGUGUCAAUGUUAGAAAUGUUAAUUAAUUGAGUUUAAUAUCAGAUAACUAUUGUUCAUAAUUUUAGUUACUCAUCAUCUCUAUUCCCUGCCCUUAAGGAAGGAGAAACCAUUCUUCUGUCAUUGCUGCAGUAGUCACAAUCCCAGUUUUCUGGGCAGUGCUCAUAAUAUUGUGCUGGUCACCUGAACUCUACCCUGAGUGAAAUUUUAAUUGUCCUGCCCAUUGGAUUAGAUCCCAGUCCUUUUGCUGAAUUCAGGACUGGGUGCAGAAAACACGAAUCUUUUGUUCAAUAGUUAACAUGCUCAGUCCCAAAUUGUAUUAGCCUUGUCCAUUAAACAAAGGCACCCUACCAUUUUUGUCCUGCUUCUGGGAUGGCCUGCUGUUCUUUGACAAUUAAAGUACCAAACUGUAAUUGUACGUUGUCUUGCCCAGUAAUCAAUGACCCUUCACCCCUUUGCAUUGCCACUAGGCAGUGCUGACUACCUGGGACCACGUUCCUUUGAUGAGUAUAAUCCCAAUUGUCCACACCCCUGUUCAUUACACAAGUCCUUUGCAACUCCUUUGCACUAUAGCAGAUGAGCUCAUCUUCAAAGUCCUUUACUUUGGGAUAUUAAUGAAUACAAUCAUUAAUAUUCAAGAUCCUGCCUAAAAGGUAAGACCCACCCAUGCUCUCUUCUCUUUACUCCUAGGUAGUGCAGACUACUUACUACCCUGCAUUAAUAUGUAAAAUCCUCAUUGCCCACUGUCCCAACAGUUAGUCUAGGAUAUAACUUUAUCUUUAUGCCAUUGCUUAUGAGGGGUUCUGAUUACCCAAGGUCACUUAAACAGUUGAUGUGCAUAAUUGCAUAUGUCCAUGGUGCUGCGCAAUAAAAAAUGGAAUCCCACCCCGUCCUAACCACUUUGGGAUAUUGCUAGUGAGUGCAGAUUAUUCAGGAACUCAGUUGUUGGACAGUUAAUUUGCACAGUUGGAGUUGUGCAGAGUCCUGUCCAUUUGAAAGAGCCACUGUAUUCCAUUUGCAUACUAUAAUGUGGGCUGAUCACUCAAAGACACUUCUCUUGAAUUGAUAAUUUUCAUAAUUGCAUUGGCACAUGUUCUGUGAACUAACCACACCCACUCCCUUUGUAUUCUAGCAGGGGACCCUUACUACUCAAGAACAAUACACUAGGAUAUUUUAUGUGUACAAUAUUAAUUGGCUAGACUGAGCCUUUUGUAUCAGGAACCCUGCACCAUCUCUAUAUCUAAAAAGUGCUAAUUAUCUAAGGCUCUUCUCCUAAAAUUGUUCAUGUGCAAAAUUGCAAUCCCCAAUGUCUCCUACUGUUAACCUAAAAUCCCAUUUCCACCUAACUCCCUUUGCAUUAUUGCAGAGGGCACUUGGGUCCUUUAAGGUGCUUAAGGCAGUUAUGGUCCCUUCUGUUAGUCUGGGAUCCCAUCCCCUCCUACUUCCUUUGCAUUACUGCAGAGAAUACUUGGAAACGUUAAUGUGCUUAACUGCAGCGAUAAUUCCUUCCAUUAGUCUAGGAUCCUAUACCCUCCUACUCAUUUUGCAUUAGCACAGAUUGUACAUGGGACUGUUAAUGUGUUCACAUGCAGCUCUGUCCCUUAUGUUGGUGUGUAUGAUUCUAUCCUCUUUAACUCCCUGUGCAUUACAGCAGAGGGUAGUUGGGAUCUUUAAGGCCCUCAAAGGCAGCUAUGGUGCCUUCUGUUAGUCUAAGAUCCCACCCCCUCCUACUUCCUUUGCAUUUCUGCAGAGGAUAUUUGGGACUGCAAUGUGCUUAAUUGCUGCCAGAGUCCUCUCUGUUUGUCUAGGAUCCCAAUCUCCUCCCUCUUACUGAGUUUGCAUUACACAGAGUACAAGGGACUGUUAAUGUGCCUAAGUGGCAGCUAUGGUCUCUUCUAUUAACCUAGGUUCCCAUCCCAAUCUAAAUUCUUUUGCAUUACUGCAGAGGGUACUUGGGACUGUUAAUGUGUGUAAUUGUAGUUACAGUCCCUUCUGUUAGAUCCUGUCCUCACCUGCUCUCUUUGCAUUAUCAUGAAGGGUACAAUGGGACUGUUAAUGAGCUUAAUUACAGCUAUAGUUCCUUCUGUUAAUCUAGUUUCCCACUUAUUCCUGCUUUGCAUUAUAGCAAAGGGUACUUGAGACCUUUAAGGUGCUUAAAUGUAGCUAUGACCCCUUCUGUUUAUGUUCCCAUCCCCUCCUACUUUGCAUUACUGCAGAGGAUACUUGGGACUCUAAAUGUGCCCAAUUACCACUUUCCCUUUUCUUUUUCUUUGUCCCAUCCCCUCCCACAGUUUGUAUUAUCAUAGAAGGUACAAGGGACCAUUAAUGUGCUUAGAGGCAGCUAUGGUUUCCCCUGUUAACCUGGGAUCCUGUCCCCACCUAACUUCCUUUUGCAUUAUUGCAAAGGGUACUUUGGACUAUUAAUGUGCUCUAAGGAAGCUGUGUGGUUCCUUAUAUUACUGUAGGAUUCCAUUGUCUCCAACUCCCUAUGCAUUACAGCACAGGGUACUUGGACCCUUUAAGAUGCUUAAAUGCAGCUAUAGCCUCUUCUGUUAGUUUUAUACUCCCAUCCCCUCCUAUUUCCUUUGCAUUACUGCAGCAGCUACUUGGGACUGUUAAUGUGCUUCAUUGCAGCUACAAUCUCUUCUAUUAGUCUAGGGUCUCAUCCCUUCUAGUUGCUUUGCAUUAGCACACAAUAUACAUGGGACUGUUAAUUUGCUUAAAUGCAGCUCUGUCCCUUAUGUUAAUGUAGCAUUCCAUCCAACUCCCUAUGCAUUAGAACAGAGGGUACUUGGCACCUUUAAGGUGCUUAAAUGUAGCUGUGGUGCCCCCUGUUAGUCUAGGAUCCCAUUCCCCUUCUACUCCCUUUACAUUAAUGGCAGGACAUUUGGGACUGUUAAUGUGCUUAAUUGCAGUUACAAUCCCUUCUAUUAAUCUAGUUAUCCUAUGCCUUCUCACUUCCUCUGCAUUAGAGCAGAUGGAGGAUUUGGGACUGUUAAUGAGCUUAAUGCAGCUAUAGUCCCUUCUGUUAAUCUAGUUUCCCAUGUACUCCUACUUCCUUUGCAUUACAGCAGAGGGUACUUCAGACCUUUAAGGUGCUUAACUGCAGUCAUGGUCCUGUCUGUUAGUUUAGGAUCUCAUAUCUUUCAACUCCCUUUGUAUUAUCUUUGGGACUGUUAAAGUGCUUAGUUGCAGCUGUGGUCCCUUUUCUUAGUCUAGGGUCCUUUCCCUUGUUACUCACUGCAUUACCUGGGAGUGGAUUUGGGACUAGUAAUGUGCUCAUUUGCAAUUGUGGUCCCUUUGGUUAGUCUGGGGUCCCAUGUCCUCCAACUCCUUCUGCAUACAGCAGAGGCUACUUGGGACUCUUAAUAUGUUUAAUUUUAGCUGUGGUCCCUUUCAGUACUCUAGGAUUCCACACCCUUCUAUUCACUUUGCAUUAGCACACAGUGUAUAUGGGACUGUUAAUGUGCUUAAAGGUAGUUCUGUCCCUUAUGUUAAUGUAGGAUUCCAUCCUUUCCAACUCUCUAUGCAUUAGAGCAGAGGGUACUUGGCACCUUUAAGAUGCUUAUACAUAGCUGUGGUCCCCCCAGUUAGUCUAGGAUCCCAUCCCCCUUCUACUCCCUUUACAUUACAUGGCAGGGCAUUUGGGACUGUUACUGUGCAUAAUUGCACUUACAAUCCCUUCUGUUAGUCUAAGAUCCUAUGCUUUCCCAUUUCCUUUGCAUUAGAGCAGAUGGUAUUUGGGACUGUUAAUGAGUUUAAUUGCAGCAGCUAUAGUCUCUUCUGUUAAUCCCAUGCACUCCUACUUCUUUUGUGUUAUAGCAGAGAAUACUUGAGACCUUUAAGGUGCUUAAGAGCAGGUAUGGCCCCUUCUGUUAGUUUAUGUUCCCAUCUCCUCCUACUUCCUUUGCAUUACUGCUGAGGCUACCUGGGACUGUUAAUGUGCCUAACUGCCACUAUAGUCCCUUCUGUUUGUCUAGAUUCUCAUCCUCUUCUGCAUGGAUUACAUUACCACAGAGGAUACAAGGGACUGUUAAGGUGCUUAAAUGCAGCUACUGUCUUUUCUGUUAACUCAGGUUCCCAUCCCCACCUAAUUCCCUUUGCAUUAUUGCAGAGGGUACUUGAGACACUAAUGAACUUAUUGUAGCAUUGGUCCCUUCUGUUAGACUGGGAACCCACCCUCACAAACUCCCUUUACAUUUUAAUGGAGAAUACACGGGACUGUUAAUGUGCUUAAAUGCACCCACAGACCCUUAUAUUAAUGUAGGAUUCCAUCCUUGCCAAACCUUCUAUGCACUACAGCAGAGAGUAGAUUCUACCUUCAAGGUGCUUAAAUGUGGCUAUGGCCCCUUCUGUUAGUUUAGGUUCCUGUCCUCUCCUACUUGCUUUGCAUUACUGCAGAGGAUACUUGGGAUGUUAGUGUGCCUAAUUGCUGCUACAAUCCCUUUUGUUAAUCUAGGAUCCUGUCCCAUUCCACACUGUUUGCAUUACCACAGAGGGUACAAGGGAUUGUUAAUGUGCUUAAAUGCAACUAAGAUCUUUUCUGUUAAUCUAGGACCCGAUCCCCACCUAACUCUGCAUUAUUGCAGAGGCUACUUGGGACUGUUAAUGUGCUCUAAUGCAGCUGUGGUCCCUUUUGUUAGAUGAGGAUCCCAUCCCUACCUGCUCCCUUUGCAUUAUCAUGGAGGGUACCUGGGACUGUUAAUGUGCUUAAAUGAAGCCAUGGUCCCUUAAGUUAGUGUAGGAUUUCAUCCUCUCCAACUCCCUGUGCAUUACAACAGAAGGUACUUGAGACUUUUAAGGUGCUUUUAAGCUAUGGUGCUUUCUGUUAGUCUGGGAUCCCAUUGCUACCUAACUCCCUUUCAAUUACUGCAGAAGGUACUGGAAAUCUUUAAGAAGCUUAAAUGCAGUUACAACCCCUCUGUUAGUGUUCCCAGCCCCUCCUACUUACACUUUGCAUUAUUGCAGAGGAUACUUGGGACUGUUAAUAUGCCUAAUUGCCACUACAGUCCCAUCUGUUUGUCUAUAAUCCUAGCCCCUCCUAAACGUUUGCAUUUCUACAGGAGGCACAAGGGACAAUUAAGUGCUUAAAUGCAGCUAUGGUGUCUUCUGUUAGUCUAGGAUCCUAUCCUCUACCUACUUACAGAAGGUACAAGGUACUGAUAAUGUGCUUAAGUGCUGCUAUAAUCCCUUCUGUUUGUCUAGGAUCCUGUCCCCUCCUACAGGGUUUGCAAUACCACAAAAAGUACAAGGGGACUGUUUAUGCUUAAAGGCAGCUCUUCUUUUACCUAGGAUUCCAUCCCCACCUAAUGCAUUUGCAUAGUUGCAGAGGGUACUUGGGACUGUUAAUGUGCUUAAAUGCAGCUGUGAUCCCUUAUGUUAAUGUAGGAUUCUAUCCUCUCCAACUCCCUAUGCUUAAUAGCAGAUGGGACCUUCAAAGUGCUUAAGUAUACUUACAGUGCCUUUUGUUAGUCUGGGAUCCCAUCCCCACCUAACUCCCUUUGCAUUACAGCAGAGAGUACUUGAGAUCUUUAAGAUGCUUAAAUGCAGCUAUGCCCCCUUCUGUUAGUUUAUGUUCCCAUCCCUUCCUACUUUGUAUUACUACAGAGUACACUUGGGACUGUAAAUGUGCCCAAUUACUGCUAUAGUCCCUUCUGUUUGUCUAGGAUCCCAUCCCCUCCUACAGAGUUUACAUUAUCACAGAGUGUACAAGGGAUUGUUAAUAUGCUUAAUUGUAGUUAUAGUCCCUUCUGUUAGACUAGGAUUCCAUCUCCACCUACUCCAUUGCAUUAUCAUGGAGGGUACAUGGUACUGUUAGUGUGCUUGAAUGCAGCUACAGCCCAUAUGUUAGCAUAGGGAUUUCAUCCUCUCCAACUUCCUGUGCAUUAUAACAUAGGGCAUUUGGGACCUUAAAGGUGCUAAAAUGCAGCUAUGGCCCCUUCUAUUAGUUUAUGUUCCCAUUCUCUCCUACUUCCUUUGCAUUAUGUUUCCCAUUCUCUCCUACUUCCUUGGGACUCUUAAUGUAGGUAAUUGGUACUACAGUCCCUUCUGUUAAUCUAAGAUCCCAUUCCCUCCUACUUGCUUUGCAUUACCACAGAGGGUACAAGGGACUGUAAAUAUGCUUCAAUGCAGCUCCUGUCCCUUAUAUUAGUAUAGUAUUCCAUCCUCUCCAAUUCCUUAUGCAUUACAGCAGAAGGUAGUUGGUAUCUUUAAGGUCCUUAAAGGCAGCUAUGGUGCCUUCUAGUAGUGUAGGAUCCUAUCCCCUCCUACUGACUUUGCAUUACUGCAGAGGAUACUUGGGACUGUUAAUGUGCUUCAUUGCCACCAGAGUCCCUUUAAUUUGUCUAGGAUCCCAUCCCCUUCUAUUUGCUUUGCAUUAGCACACAAUAUACAUGGGACUGUUAAUUUGCUUAAAUGCAGCUCUGUCCCUUAUGUUAAUGUAGCAUUCCAUCCAACUCCCUAUGCAUUAGAACAGAGGGAACUUGGCACCUUUAAGGUGCUUAAAUGUAGCUGUGGUGCCCCCUGUUAGUCUAGGAUCCCAUUCCCCUUCUACUCCCUUUACAUUAAUGGCAGGACAUUUGGGACUGUUAAUGUGCUUAAUUGCAGUUACAAUCCCUUCUAUUAAUCUAGUUAUCCUAUGCCUUCUCACUUCCUCUGCAUUAGAGCAGAUGGAGGAUUUGGGACUGUUAAUGAGCUUAAUGCAGCUAUAGUCCCUUCUGUUAAUCUAGUUUCCCAUGUACUCCUACUUCCUUUGCAUUACAGCAGAGGGUACUUCAGACCUUUAAGGUGCUUAACUGCAGUCAUGGUCCUGUCUGUUAGUUUAGGAUCUCAUAUCUUUCAACUCCCUUUGUAUUAUCUUUGGGACUGUUAAAGUGCUUAGUUGCAGCUGUGGUCCCUUUUCUUAGUCUAGCGUCCUUUCCCUUGUUACUCACUGCAUUACCUGGGAGUGGAUUUGGGACUAGUAAUGUGCUCAUUUGCAAUUGUGGUCCCUUUGGUUAGUCUGGGGUCCCAUGUCCUCCAACUCCUUCUGCAUACAGCAGAGGCUACUUGGGACUCUUAAUAUGUUUAAUUUUAGCUGUGGUCCCAGUAGUUUAGGAUCCUUUGUAUUACCUUUGUAUUAUCAGAUGGUAUUUGGGACUAAAAAAUGCUUAAUUGCAUCUCUGGUCCCUUCUGUUACAGGAUCCCAAUGUUGUCCAACUCCCUGUGCAUUACAGCAGAGGUCAUUGGGGCUGUUAGUGGGUUUAACUGUAGCUGUGGUCCCUUCUGUUAGUCUAGUAUCCCAAGCCCUCCAACUGCCUUUGUGUUACCUGGGAGUGUAUUUGGGACUCUAAGUUGCUUAACUGCAGCUGUUGUCUCUUCUGUUAGUAGUUUCCCAUGCCCUCCUAUUCUCUUUACAUUAUAACAGAGGGUCCUUGGGAUUGUUAAAGUGCUUAAUUGCUGCUGUGGUCCCUUCUGUAAUUCCAGGGUCCCAUCCCCUCCUACUCUGUUUACCUGAGAGGAUUUUUGGGACUGUUAAAAGAGACCACAUAAUUAAAUUAGUAUAGUUUCCCAUGCCCUCCUAUUCUCUUUGCAUUACAACAGAUGGUACUUGGGAUUGUUAAAGUGCUUAACUGCAGGUGGGGUCCCCUCUGUUAGUCUAGGAUCUCUUGUCCUUCCCCCUUUACAUUACCGGGAGCAGAUUUGGGAAUGUUAACAUGCUUAUUAACUACAGUUGUUGUCCCUUCUGUUAAUCUAGUUUCCAGUCCCUUCCAACUGGUUUUCCAUUACCUAGUAACAGAUUUGGGACAAUUAAUAUGCUCAUGUGCAGCUGUGGUCCCUUCUGUUAGUCUAGCAUUCCAUGCCCUCUAACUCCCUUUCCAUUAUAGCAGAGGAUAUUUGGGACUUUUAAUGGCUUAAUUGCAGCCCUGGUCCCUUCUGUUAGUCUAGGAUCCCAUGUUCUCCAACUCACUUUGCAUUACCUGAGAAUGUAUUUGGGACUGUUUAAAUGCUCUAUUGGAGCUGUGGUCCCUUUUGUGUGUCUAGUUUCCCAUGCCCUCCUACUCUUUUGCAUUAUAGCAGUGGAUACUUGGGGCUGUUAAAGUACUUAAUUCCUGGUGUAGUCACUUUUGUUGAUUUAGGAUCCCAUCCCCUUCUACUCCCUUUACAUUAUCUGGGAGGAUUUGGGGGACUUUUAAAGUACUCAUUUGCAGCUGCGGGUCCCCUUUGUUAGUCUAGGAUCCGAUGUCCUCCAACUCCCGUUGCAUUAUAGCAGAUAGUGCUUGGGACUGUAAAUGUGCAUUACAUACAGGUGUGGUCCAUUUUGCUGGUCAUGACCACCUCUUCCCUUUAUAUUACCUGGGAUCAGAUUUGGUACUGAAAGGUGCUUAAUUGCAGCCUGUGUUCCUUUCUGAUUAGGACCCCACACCUCCAUCUCUAUUUGCAUUACAGCAGGGCGUACUUGGGCCUGUCACAUGCUCUGUUGCAGCUGUGGUACCUUCUGUUUUGUAGGAUCCCAUGCCCAUCAUCUCCUUUUUACAUUAUCUGGGAGUGUAUUUGGAACUUAUAAAGUACUUAAUUUUAGCUGUGGUUCCUUCUGUUCAUAUACUUUUCCAUGCCCUCCUACUGUCUUUGCAUUAUAGCAGAGGGUACUUGGAACUGUUAAAGUGCUUCAUUGCAGCUGUGUCACUUUUGUAGUUUAGGAUCCCAUGACUUCCCAGCCCCUUUACAUUACCUAGAAAGGCAUCUGGGACUGUUAAGGUGCUAACUGCAGCUGUGGUCCCUUCUGUUAGUCUAGGAUCCCAUUCUCUUCUACUCCCUUUGCAAUACUUGGGGAAGGUUUUUUGGGACCAUUAAAGGGUGCUGUUGCAGGUGUGGUCCUUUCUCCUACUCUGAGAUCCAUGCCCUUCAAACUUUGUUUGGGUUACUGCUGAGGGCACUUGGUACUAUGUAUGUGCUCAAAUGCAGAUUUGGUCCCUUUUCUUAGUCUCAGAUCUCAUGCCUUCCAACUCCUUGUACAUUAUCAGAGAGGGUGCUUGGGACAGUUUUUAUGCUCAGUUACAACAGUGGUCCCUUUUUUAGUCUAUGAUUUCAUCCCUUGCCCCUUGCCCCGCAACUCCCUUUGCAUUACCACAGAAGGUACUGGAGACUGUUCAGGUGUAUCUCAUUCUCUGACCCCCUGUUAGCAUUAUAGUAAGGGGUGCUGAAUACCAAAGCCCCCUUUUUUUUGCAUUGUUAAUGUGCAUAAUUGCAUUUGUUCAUCUUUCUCUGCAGUAGAUAAGAUUUCACUAACUUCCCUUGUAUUCAGCAGUGAAUGCCCUUUAUUCAAGACCUUUGUACUACAAUAAAGUGAACCAUGGUAAUUGACCACACUGUCAUUCAUUUAAGUCCCCUGUACUCUCUGUAUUAAUUACUUUAGUUAUUUUUUGGGGGGAUUAUUUGUAGCAAAAUUCCAGUGUUUAUGGUCCUUCACUUUUAACUAAUUUCCCACCCUUUUUGUAUUGCAUCAGGGGAUGUUAGUAUCUCAAAGUAUUUCUCUUAGUACUCUAAAUGUGCAUAUACCCUCUUGAUAAGCUAAUAUCUUUAUUUCUUAGUAUUAUAGCAGGGGGUACUAACCACCUAAGGUCCUUCUUUUGGACAGUUAAUGUGCCAGAUUGCACAUCCCCAAAUUGGGGAUCCCAUCCCCAUCACACCUUCUCUGUGUCAGGCGUGCUGACCAACUAUAACUGCUUCUCCUUUAUAGUUUAAAUGUGCAUAAUUACAGUAACCAAUGGUCCCUUAUGUUAGAAUGGGAUCUCAUUUCCUUGCCCAAUUUACAUUACUGUGGGGGCUUCUGACUAGCCCAGAGUCACUCUCUUGGACUGUUAAUGUGCAUACUUAAAUUCACUCUUAUACCUAGAUAAGGAUUCUCCCCAUACUAUUUAUAUUCCAGCAAGAGGUGCCUACUACUUAAGAUUUUACACACUAAUGCAGUUAAUGUGCACAGCCUUUGUUGUCUUGUGCAUACUCAGUUGUCCACAACUGUACCUUUUAGUUCAAGACUCCUGCAAUUACUGAAGCAGAAGUGACUGACCACCUUAAAGCCUUUCUCUUGGGACUCUGGAUGUGUGUAGUAUUGGUUGUCCACUGUCCUUUGAGUUAACUUGGGUCCCUGAGUCUUUUCACAGCCUCUAAGCUUUACUUCAUGGGGUACUGUCCAUUUAAGGCCCCUUUCUCAAACUGUUAAUGUGCAUAAUGACAAUUACAUUAGGAUUCUUCCCCUUUACACUCCCUUUGAAGUACUGCAGGGAAUUCUGACCCAUAAGGUUCCAUUUCAUGGCCUGUUAAGAUGCAUGUUAUAUUUAUCUGGGUUCUUAUGUACUAGAGAAGAAAACCUCUCUCCACUCCCUGUAUCUUCAAGCAGGGAGUGCCCACUGUACAAGACCGUGCCCUGUACAAGACUGUUGAGCAGUCAAGGAAGACAAUUGUAAUUGACCACAGCCAUGCACCAUGGACAUUAAUGUGCAUAAUUGCACAGGCUCAUCCUGUUUGAAUAAGAUACUACCUUCUCAGACCCCAGAAGGGGUACUGAUCAUUAAGGCCUUUUUUUCAUGCCUUGUGAUUAUGCAUAAUUGCAUUUGUACCUUUUUCUGUACACCAAAUAAGGACACCCUCUCCCCACUCCCUUUAUCUUUAGCAAGGAGUGCCCAUUAUUUUAAGAUCCUUGUAUCUGUACAAGAUACAUGGUUUUAGUUGAUCAUACCAUGUCUGUUGGACAUUAAUGUACAUAAUUGCAACUUAGUUCAUCCUACUCUGUUGUAUGUCAUUUGCUAUAUGCUAGGGUUGCUGAUCCCUAACUUAUCCUGUUAAUGUGCAUAAUUGCAUUAGUCUGGGUUCUUGUGCACUAGAUGAGGACAUCCUCCACCCCUACUUCUAUGCCUUCCAGUAGGUGGUGCCCACUGCUGUGACAUUUACAUUUGGAUGGUUAAUGUGCAGAAUUGUAGUUUCCACAACCCUAUCACUUUCAAAAUUAUCGUAUCUGCUUUGCACUGCUGCAGGGGAUACUGUUUUCUCCCCAAGUUCCUUCUAGUAAACCAUUAAUAUUCAUAAUUGAAAUAGUUAUACACCCUCAGCUUCCCUUUGCAGUACAGCAGUGUGUACUGAUCAACCAAGGCCCUCUUUUGGAGUGGUAAUAUGUGCAAUUGCAUUUUUUCCUAUUUUGUGCACUCAGUAAGGAUCCUGCCUACUUCCUUACCAGGUUCAGCAGGUAGUGUCCACUACUUAAGACUCUUUCACUUGAAAAGUUCAUGUGUAUAAAUGCAGUUUGCUAAGUGUGUCUUAUACUAGAACCCCUCUUUGCUUUGGAGUAAGGAGGUGUUAUUUACCUAAUGCCCUUUCUUUUAGACUCUAAUGUGCAUAAUUGCAAUUGUCCAUCUUUUCUGUUGGACUAGGGUUGCAUUCCCUCAAACCCCCUUUGUAUCAGGGGUGUGUUAACCAUAAAUGAGCUCUUCUCUUGAGAUUAUAAUUGUACAGACUUGUAUGUGUCUGUGGAUUUGUGUAGUGUGAAAGGAUGCCCUAUGCAUUUACCACUAUCUUUGGAUUGCUGCUGAGGAGUGCUAUCAUGACCUCAGCUCUUGGACAAUUAAUGUGCACCACUAGCAAUGAUGGGACCUCUGUACCCGCUUUGUAUACAUCAGGGGUACUAAGGCCCCUUUCUUGGACUGUCAAUGUGCAAUUGUCUAUGUUCCCUUCUGUUAAAUUUAGGAUAACAUUCCCUUAAACCCCCUUUGCAUUAAUGCAGGGGUUGCUGACCACACAAAACUCUAUUAGUUUAGAGUUAUUAAACUAUUAGUGGGCACAAUGGCAAUUAGUGGGACUAUUAGUGGGCACAAUGGCAAUUAGCAAUGGGUUUUUCCUCCCUGGCCUUGUUAGGCAAACACUCCCAGCCCCAAUUUCCCUUGGCAUAAUAAAGUAUAAACAUGGCAGUAUGCUGUGAACUUGUCCAUCAAAUAGUACCCCAUACUCCCUCUCCUUUUGUAUUGCUUCUAUGUAUAAAAUUCCAAGUAGUCAUGAUCUUCCCCUUUCUUCCCUCUUCCCACCCCUUGCUCACCCUUGGACCCAUCCAAGGUGCAUAAGCACCAUUCUCACAAUUUCAGGUGUUCAUGUAUUGGGCCACUAAAUAAGAUUGUGUUCCUUUUUCCCUCCCAACGCCACCCUGCCCCUUUUGCGUUGUUGCUGGGGAAUGUUGACUGGGCAAGGCCCUUUCUCUUGGAUUUAAAACAUUGACAAUCCCAGAUGUCAUUGCAUUACUCACUUUGUAUUGCUGUAAUGCCUCAGUUGCACUAUCCUUGGUCCCUCCCAUCAGACAUGGACCCCUCCACUUCUUUGCAUUGCUUCUGAGUAAUGCUGAGUACCCAAAGUCUCUUCUGUGUUAUUAACACAGUACUGAUUGUCCCAUUUUUUUCAGGUCAUCAGCCCAAGAUUUUCCUACCAUUUUGAUGUGUUUGUGCAGUGUUGACUACCCAAAGCAGGCCUGAAUUAGGUGGAUGGACCUUCACUCCUUUGUCUGCAUUUGUUAAUAAUCCCAAUUCCAGUUGUUACAUUCUGGGAUAGGAACCAUCCCUGACCAUUUCUGUUACUGCUUCACUGAGCAAAAUGCUCAAGGCAAGUCAGGCCUAGAAAGCUGGAUUGCCACCUUUUAUUUUAGAUUUCCAGUAUAAGUAUCAGUUGAAAAUUGUCUCCCCAGGAAGAAAGAUUAGCAUUGUCUGUGUAUUCUUCCUUCCAGAGCAGAUUGCCUGGCCAAGAAUUUCGCUUCUCCUCUUGUAUAUUGCUAUUGUACUGUGCCAGUUGCCAGCGUACAAUUAAAAAAAAAAAAUACUGUUUGCAAGGUGGAAUUGUAAACCUGGUCAUUGAAUUUUGAGGUCCAAAAACCCAUUUAUACCAUGUACCUGAUGACCAGUGUCUCUCAUUUUACUAAGGGUGCUGGGUCUGUGGAUAGACCACUGUGACUCUUGCUAUUUUGGUAUUCCCAAAAGACUUCUAGAGUGGAACUCUUAAGAGCAAUAUCUUUGGGUUCUACCACCAUUUUAAAACCCAUUAUUUAUUUGGGCUUUACCACUGUUCACUUUUAGAAAAACUACCUAAACAUUCUAAUCCUUAAGUUUCUUCAUCUGAAGCAUCUACCACCCCUUACUUAUUUCAAGAAGAUUGCUGUAAAAGAAUGAAAUGAGAGAACAUAUGCUGAGGCACUUUUGAAAACCAUAAUUCAUCUUACUUGAUUAAUCUAUUACAUAAAUAAAAUGCACACUAUUUAAAUCUGCUAAUUUAAACUAGCCUGAAGCACUACACUGAAGUGAGGGAUUAGAAAUGAUGGGUCCAAUUUCCCUGUUUUUGAUUGAAAAAUAAGCCAAGAUCUAAUCAUUCUUCUGGACAUGAAUUUCAACAGCUGCUUGGUAAAAUGAAUAAUAUCCUAGUCUCUAGUGUGCAGGGUGUGGCAGAUAAGUGUUUAAUAUGGAACUCCUGAAGCAAAUAACUAGUGGUCACAACAGCAGUUCUUUGUAAUCACUGAAAAAGGAUACUAUUCCUCUGACAAGGAUGUCAAAAGAUCGGCCCAGCUCAGGGUGCAGUAUGCACUACUAGCUCCUUGGACAGCUGUAAGAAGAGUCUCUGGCUCUUUAGAAUACUGGAUCAAUUCUGAGCUGGUUCUAUACCCCCACUGAAGAGGAAGGAUGGAUCAAUUUUAAGUGGAUUGAAGCCUGCACUAGACAGCAUCCAAAGGAUAUCGGCCCUGGUUAGCAAAUGUACACCUGCAUGGGAGUUUGACUUGAAGUAAAUAAUUUAAAAAGUUAAUCUGUGGUGUCUGCUAAAAUAUUCUUAUUUGUGAAAGUGUUCUGGGAAUUUACCAUAUUAAAGAGAAGAAAAUUGAUAUCUGAACUGAGUUCCAAAAUGUAAUCACUUUCUCUGGCUUUAGCUUCCCUUUAAUGGAAAGGGAAUGCUUCUUGAACAUGUCAUCAGUGUAAUAACAAAACUAGAAGGCUUUGGUCUAAUGUAGCCAUACUCAGUAAAUAUGGUUCAGAGUGGAUCAGAAGAUCUGGAGAGAUUGGACUAGUCAUUUCCUUUUAGGUGUCUUAACUGGGUUUUGGUGUCUUCCUGAGUCCUGUCUUUCUUCUCAAGGACGUUCUGAGCAUGUGAAACCUGAGGACUGCAAGUAGCUCUAAGCAGCUUCACAUUCAGCAGAUCUUUCCUUUUGAGAAUCUGGAUAAACUCCAAAUAAUCUAAGAUGAUGGCUUGCAGGCCACCUGGAAAAAAAAAAAGAUCUUCCUCUGAAGAAAAGGCUUGUUGCUCUACAGUGUUAGUGACCCAUUCCCUUUGACGAUCCCUAGGUGGAGAUGGGGCAUGAGGAUCCUCCAGGGGAAAAGCUCACUAUCACUGGGCAACAACCCUAGGCUAGGAGGCUUUACCAAGAUUCUUUCCUGAGCCCAGGUAGGAAGAUGAAGUCUCACAACAACCGCCACACAUCAGAGGUGGCUCCUGAUUGUUCCCUUCUUAUCUGCCAAAUCAUUGUAUCCCCAAAACAAUGCAGAGAGCAAGAAAUUUGAACACAUCAAAGGAAGAUCAACAUGCCUGGCAUGCUAACAUUUUAGAACAGCGGAAUGAAUGUGUAUUUCUUUGUCUAUUUUUUUUCUUGAAUCUCUUUGGUUUUCCUUCUCUGUCUAAAGUGUGUCUCAGCCAUUCCAUGAUUCUCUUGUUAGUUUCUUCUCUGUGUAUCUUUGUCUCAUUUUCUUGUUCCUAAGAGUUGUCUGUGCCUUGUCUUGGAUGUCUCUCUCCAGUUUUUUCAUUUUGUUAGUGAUUCUCUUUGUUCUCCUAGAUCUGGCUCUUCUUUCACUGUUCUUCCUUUUGUGUCUCUGUGUCACAUGAUGUGUGCUUUUUGUUCAUUUCUUGUUCUGCCUAUACCUCUCUUCUUGUUCUGUUGUGAACUCUGAUUUUUUGUCUUCCCUUACCUUUCUUAUUGGUUUCACAUUUCACCUUUUUCUCAUUCUGCCUUCCCUUCUACUUUUUCUACUCAUUAUCUCAAAUUUCUGUGUCUCUUGGGCCAUUUUCUCUCUAUUUUGUCCUGCUUUGUCUCACUGUCUCUUUUUCUCUCUGUUUUUUGUCCUGCUUUGUCUCAGUGUCUCUUUUUCUCUGUUUUUUUUUUUUCCUGCUCUGUCUCAGUGUCUCUUUUUCUCUUUUUUUUUUUUUCUGCUCUGUCUCAGUGUCUCCUUGCUCUUUGUGAUUUUUCCAUUUCAACAUUCAUCUCUGUUCUCUUGUUUCUUCUCUGCUUUUCCCCUUCUACUCACCUUUGAGUAUUUCAGCCUCUUUGUGAGUCUGUGAUUCCCCCUCUUUGACUUUAUGCAGUCCUCUAUCCUUGCAUAUUUUUGUGCAUUUGUAUGAUCAUGUGUGUGUCUUUGUGACAAAGGGGCUUCCUAACCCCUUCCCAAUAGGUACAGUGUGUCAACUAUCAAAAUACACAUUGCAGAGCUGUUCGUUAUGCCAGGACACCCUGUGAGAUGACCCAAGACCUAUGAUGGACAGAAAGUGGAAGGCCCAUAAUGGAGAGAAGGCCCAAAGUAAAAGACAGAUGGUUUGAGACUUGAGACCUAAAGACAAAAAUGGAAAACCUGUCUCAAGAUAGAUGGAAACUUCAGGCUUGAGACCAUCCAAAGUCCUGACAACCAUGAUGUAAAAAGGUGGCCCUUGUUGGAUAGAAGACCUGACUGAGUUGGAUGGAAAGUUCAAGACUUGAGUUAGAUAGAAGUCCAAAGACCCAGAGUAGGAGACUGAAGGCCUAAGAAUGGGGACCCAUCGAAAGCCUGAGACAUAAGACACCAUGUCUAAGACCUGAGAUAAAAACUUUAGCUUGAAGAUCUAAGAUCCAAGGAUGGAAGGCCCCAGACACACAUAAAGACCCAGGACUCCAGCCUCUAGAUGGACAGAAGGUCAAAGAGAGAAAUCUAUCUCAAGGCUAAAUUAGGUGGGAAGCUAGAAGCCCAUGACAAGAAUCCAAGAAGGAUAGAAGCCCCAAGACCAAAGGAAAUCCCAAGAUGAGAACGCUAAACCCCAGCUUUUUUCUAUUGCCAUCCUUCCUACUCUUGGACAUUUUCAGUUCUCCCUUGACAGUUCUUAUGUUUCCAUUUAAGCCCACUUUUUUGAGAUGCCCUUUUAGAUGUUGCCAUUACCUUAAGGAAACAUAUCUUUACAUUGCCAAUAUUAUACUUGGUCCAGUCUUAAGCCAAUUUUUAUUACAGUUUUGGGCCAUUUAUUGUUUGUUUUUUAAAUUUCCAUUUGUCUUUGCCUCCAAUUCACAUGAGAGAGACAUAUAGGUAACAUUGUAUUUCAGUUGUCCCUUUUCUUUAGGAGCUAUAGGCUGAUGAGCAAAGGCAAGCAUCAGGCUGUUGUGGGAAAAAAGGUGCUAGGCUAUUUAGAGAAAAUGUGAAGAGAUGUUCCAGGCCAAUGAGAAGAAUUAGACAAGAAAUACCCAGAUGUGCCAGACUGUUGAAGCACCAGCCAGAAACACCUUACUUCUUUGAGCUUGGGUGAGCAGGAUUCCUGGGGUUUGGGAUUCCUAGUGAUGGUUAAAAAACAGAUGAUAGUUCCUGGGACAGAGUGAGGCCCCAAGGAGGCAGUUUGAACUCCCUGCUCAUAGUAGUGGCCUAAUAAUUUGGUAGACUGUGCCAGUACUGCUCCUGGGUUUAAUACCCACCUGAAGGUUUAAAGGUGAGAGAACUUGGGAAUAUUUACUUAGCAGGUUUAAUCCUUUCCUUGAUUUCCACCCCCUCCCCUUACCAUGAGAGAAGAAAAUUUAAACAAUUGAGAAUAUAUGUGAAAGCAUUGUAAAGCAGAGAAAAAAGUGCAAGGCAUUCUCAUUAAUAGUAUAUCAGCAGCCAUGCACAGCUGACAUUUAAAGUGUACUGUCAGUUGUGAAGCAUUAUGUAAAUCAGGGGUCAUCACACCCUUUCUGUAAAGGGUCAGAUGGUAAAUAUUUUAGGUUUUGUGAGCCAUAUGGUCUCUGACACAUUUUUUAAAAUUAACCCUUUACAAAGAAAAACUACUGUUAGCAUGUGAACCAAGUAGAUUUGGUCUGUGGGCCAUACUAUCAUCCCUGAUGUACAUACCAGGGAUUGUGUGCUGAAUAAUACUUGUGUGUGCCUGUCCCUGAGCUAGACACUUAAGGAUGCAAUAAUUAUUUACUAUUACAUCCAGGUGACCUGAAGAAAAAUAUGUGAAUGUGCUUUGUAAACUGUAAAGCACUUAAAGAUUUAUGAGUUUCAGAGUUGAUGAAUGAAUAUUGACUACACAGUAUGUACAUUCUACUGUACAUUCUACUAGACACUGUGAAUACAAAGAUUAAAAGAAGCCUGAAUAAAGUACUUUGUCAGAAGUAUGUAAUACUAUGAAGAUAUUAGGAAUUGUUUGAUAAAUGAAUAAUUCAUAUAUUUGUGGCCAUCAUGUUUCCGCUGCUCUGGUAAUUUUAAGUAAAAGUACAGUAUUCCAGGUAGCAGAAAAGCAAACACAUGGAAGCUGCUUUUAAAGCAUAAAAUAUACUGCAAACACAAGGGAUUAAGCUAUUGUGAAAACUUAUAACAUGUCACAUACCAUGCUAAGUGCUACAGAUGUCAAAGGGAAAACAGUGUCCUCAGUAGGGAAUUAAAAAUGUCAGAUUAUGAGGUGCAUAUUAAAGUACUUUGUAAACUAAAGCACUGUAUAGAUACCAGUGUGUUACAUGUUUAUGAAUAUUAUUUGCCUUUUAUGGGCCAGGUAUAUUUUGGGUACUCUGAAAUCUAAGAUAAUGCUUCCAAGUAAUAAGAGGGGGGCUUAUGUCCUAGACUAUUUAGACGUAAAGAAUUGGAUAUUGCUUGUUUUAAUCAAUCAAGACUUUAAUGGUCAUGUCAAAUUAAAUUAUCACCAGUAUAUUUUACCAGGUAACAGGUAAAUGUAAUGAUUGAGAUUGCACUUGCACUUUCUAAAGUGCUAUAUAAAUACAAGACAUUAGCUGUUUUCUGUGUGAAUAAAACUUUCUGUGAGAUAGGCAUUGUCUCCAGAAAAUUCUCAUUGUGUUCCUGACAUCCACUAUGACAAAGGUAAUAUAAAUAGUUAUAGAAACUGAGGGUUUAAAUACUUGUUGAAUGAAUGAAUGAAUAUCAGUUACUUACUAUGUGGACUCACUAUUAUAGGCACUAAAGAGAUACAAAGAUUUAUCAUUUCAUUGUGCUUACAGCUGAGAAUAAGCCGAUACAUGUGUCAGCAUUUUGGGAACUCUAAAGCAUCAUGUAAGUGUAACUACUGAUUUUCUGAUUUGGUGCUGAGUACUGGGCUUAUAAAAUUAUAUCACACUUAUACUAUGAAAAAAGUUGGAAAAAUCUGAGGAAGAGUUCUUAACUAUUAAACACUCUGAAUAUAAUGUGCAAAGGAUUAAAUAUCUGGUAAAUGCAAAACUGGUUAAUAAUUGUCUAUUACGUGCCAGUCUCCUUGCUAGGCAUUAGGGAUGUGAAGAUAAACCAUCUUGAUUGUGUCCUGGGUAGCAGCAGAUAAUGUAUAAAAUCAAUUUAUAAGUCUUAAACUGCCAUAUAUGUAUAAGCAAUAUCUGCUGAAUUAACAUUGAUUAUUUACUCUGUCUUAUCUGUGGAGACAACAAAUGGGGAUGCAGAAAUUAUCAUUAUUAUUGAACUUACAACAGAGAUCUGUGUAAAUUUACAAGCCUGCUAUUCUAUACAGAUAUAAGGAAAUAACUUGGCUUAAUGAAUGAUUACUUUCUAUGAGGCUUAGAACUAUGCCAUGCCUUAGGAUAUAAAAAUGAUUUUAUUCUUAUGAGGUGUUCAUAGGAAGAAAUAAGGAAAUCCAGUGAGAAAUAAGGAAAUAAGUGAGAUCCAGACUAAAAGUUAAGCACUACUAAGCUUAUUUAAUAAAAACAUGGGAAAAAUGGAAUUGUGCCAGGAAGUAUGCUAAAUGCUGAACUCUGUGGAAAGAUAAUAUCUGAAUCAGAGGGUGUCUUUGCUCUCUAGCUAGACUGAAGAGAUGGGAAAUGUUUUUAAAAAAGAAGAUGUUAUAGUUCUCUAUCAGUCUUUAAAAUGUUGAAUGCUGAAGGUGGAGGUAAAUGAGAUCCACCCUGCCUGGCUUAAAAUUAAAUGGCUCAGGUUUGAUUUUAGAUUCAUAUGAUAAACCUAGAGCAUCUUUUAUGUGGAAUACAUCAUUCUAGGUCCUAAGAGAAGUGAAAUGGCUAAGUCAAAAGGGCAUCAGAAUACAGAUUAUAGAUGAAGAUAAGAAAACAUCAUUGAUUUUUAAGUAGAUAUUUGAGUGCCUGUUUUCUGGACAGUAUUAUGCUAGAUAAAUUAGUUGAGUUGGCCUGGUCCAGAAAACCUAUUGACAUGCCUUAGAGAUGAAAAAAAAAAUAGAAAAAUAAGGCAUGAUUCUUUUAAUGUUAAAUGAAGACUUUUUUCCUAAUUCUUUCUAAUUUUCACUUGCUCAUGGACCUAGUUUGAAGCCAGAAGACUGAUAAUAAGGGAGCUUAGGGUUUGUCCUUUAAUUCAUUACUUUAACAUUCUGUUUUGAUUAUAGAUGAAUGGUUUAAGAUGAGAAUUAAGAUAAAACAACUGGUUUUAAAAAUAUUUGCUUAUUGGCCUGGCAUAGAGUCAGGAAGCCACUUGAGCAGUAAAGAUUUUUUUCUAGAUUUUUUGUAUUUUGUAAAAAUUUAUUUACCCUGUAUAAUGUUCUCAAAUGCAGAGAAUGAAGAGACUUAAAGGACCUAUACCAAAAUGUACUUUAAUCUCACUAGUUUAUGGUGGAAACAUAGGAACUAAUUUAAUAAGAGACUGCAGUUCUUUCAGUUUAUUGAGCAGCUGUGAUAGUAAGACACUGAGAACAAAUGAUCACCUUCUCUUUGGCAUGUUUUAUAGAGUGGGAAUAAGAGAGAACUUUUCAUUUAUACAAACUUUGAAGAAGGUGAUGUUAAAUUGGAACAGAUCUGGUAAGAAAGGCACUUAUUUUGUCUUGGAGAUGCAAUAGGACAAAUCAAAAACAAACAAAACAAAACAAAACAAAAAGGAAUGAAAUUCUUCUUUAAAUGGAAGUGUCUAUUUCAAGGCAUUGUGUUAAUUGCUAGACAGAAAACAAAAAAGAUCUUGACUGAAAGAUACUUUUUAGUUAGCUUUGAGACUAGAAUAUAAGAGAUUACUGUUCAUUUCUUCAUUUAUUCAUUCUACAAGUACAUUUGAAUGCCUAUUAUGUAUAAAGCUCUUUGCUAUGUUCCCAGAUAGCCCCAGAGACAUGAAAAAAACAAAAACAAAAACAAAAAAUAAAUGCUUUCCUAGAGAACUUUUAAAGCUUUUCUUUUGGCCUGUUUUCUGGUUAGGGGCAUGGCAUAGUCCAUAAAUAAUGUUGUGGGUUUUAAUUACUGUUCCAUGUUUCUUCUACCACUCUGGCCACUACAAUAAGCAGGGUUUUCUAUUGAGCUUGCUCUUUAAGUUGCAGGAACUUUCUUUAUAAUAGGCACUUUAUUUUUCCUGGCCCAUCCCUAAUGAAAAAUGACUGUGACUGCUGCUGGACAGAAGGAGGGAUGACAAACAACUAAUUCCCAAAUUCCAGUUUCAUUGGUACCAGCAUUGGGGAAACACUUAUACUCUAGCCACAAUUGGUUUUAAAAUGCAUUUACCAGUUUUGUCUGUUUUUAAUUGUUUACAUUUUUACAUUCUGACAAAUAUGUGCUGCCUAAAUAGAUCUCUUUGAAAUACAUAACAUAAUUGGAGAUGGAGACAUGAUUUCUCUUUUGCAAUAGUAUCUCAACUUAACCUUUAGAAAUCUCACCAUCAAAACAUGUUCAGGAAAGGACUUCUUAAUAGUGGAAUAAUAUCAGUUAAUUAAAAUAGCUUAACAAUUUUACCAUGUUUAAAAUUUCAGAAUAAUAGAAAUUGGAAGUAAUUGGCAAAAAUUGGAGGGAAUCAACAACAUUCCUCAAUCUAGGCCCAACUGGGUUUUGACCUUUUCUAUUUUUAAAUCACUCACAGAGGGUGGGAUAGGAGGAAGAGUGAAAGAAAAGGUCAAACCAGUUUCUAAGGGCAGCCUGCCUGUGUUUGGUAUUGGUUUUAAGAACAUUACUACCUCCAAGUCUAACUAGGGGAUUGCUUUUUUUAGUUUAAUGCAAUUCCGAUCAGUAGUCUUUAUUGAGAUGAAGACAUGGUACUUUGUCCCCCACUAAUUUCUGUAAGUCUUUGAGAAACAAUUUUGAGCUAGUUAUCAACUAAACCUUGAGUUAAAUAAUUAUGGGAUUUGUUAAUUAAAUCAAUGUAACCUCCAUCAGAAGGUAGUUUUAAAGUCAACAUUCACUGCAAAAGAGGAGGACUUUAUUGUUCACAGUAAUUUAUAUAACUUUUAGUUUACAUCUGUAAAUGAAGAAGGAAAUAGGUGAAUGGCAAAAGAUAAUUGGUGGAGGGAACAAAGUUGAAGACAAAUUGGGUGUGAUGUUUCUAGUUUUCACUUUGUACAUUUUUAUUUAGGCAUCAGAUAUAUCUGAAAUACUGUUUGGCCUUUAAUACUGUGGUAUCAGAUGGAUUCUGUAACACCCCUAUUUUCAAGUUGGGGUUGGGGAGUACAUUAUUGGAAAUUAGACAGGAGAAAGUAACUAAAAGCCUUCCUUUCACAGUUCCUGACAUCCUAAGACUACUGCUAUUGAUAAGAAUAAGAACAUAGUAUCAUCUGAAUUUUUAUGGCAUAAAUGAAAUUAUGAACAAAUACAUUUUUAAAGGAAAUGGCUUCAUCUCUACCCUUCUGCCUAAAAAGGAAUCUAUGCCAAAUGUUCCAAUAAAUGGGAAGAUACACUUUGACUUGUGAACUGAUGUGAAAAUGCAGAAUCUUUGAUUUUUGAGUGUUUUAAAGAUUGAAAAAUCUUGCUCAGCAUGGGUGACCACCAAAAGCAAUCUAAAGCUAUCGACAUGUCACAACUGAGACAAAUUGGGGAAUGUGUUGUCUAAUGUGAAAUAAAAUGUACUGUUUUGAAAA
Molecule: long non-coding RNA, 22231 nt
Organism: Leopardus geoffroyi (Geoffroy's cat)
Lineage: Eukaryota; Metazoa; Chordata; Mammalia; Carnivora; Felidae
Exons: 8
Source: RefSeq, a predicted model, not a curated record